Xyrichtys novacula (pearly razorfish) is the source of this 362-nucleotide non-coding RNA. The record is from the annotation of a GenBank genome assembly. NCBI's taxonomy places the organism in Eukaryota, Metazoa, Chordata, Actinopteri, Labriformes, Labridae.
CAUGACUUUACUUAGUCACAUCCUCACAGUAAUUUCUCUAAACUGGAAUAUUACAUGUGGCCCUGUUCACCCCCUAUACAAAUCUGCCAGUUGGAACCUUUCCAGUGCGGUAAGAUGGCUCCUUGUUUCCUCAGGGAACUCUUUUACCAGCGCACCCCGGGAGUGGGCACAGGUGUGUAAGGCACAGGUAAGUGUUUGUUUGUCAGAUUCACAUCAGAUUGAACUUCAGAUUACACCUUUCCUGUUUUAAUCGGCACACAAAUCUACUCGGACUUUUCCAACUUCUACCAUUUCUGUCUCUCAGGUGGUUCGGCUAAAUCCACACGAACAAGAGAUCCUCUGUGAGAAACUCAUUAACCAAA